This is an RNA transcript of Vicia villosa (hairy vetch), 2413 nucleotides long. It is a transcript of the gene named putative F-box protein At1g47790, with no coding region annotated. Lineage: Eukaryota; Viridiplantae; Streptophyta; Magnoliopsida; Fabales; Fabaceae. The record is from RefSeq and is a predicted model, not a curated record. The transcript is spliced from 2 exons.
UUGCAAUCCUUAUCAAGUACAAGUAGUAUAUAUAUAUAUGUUGGGUUUAGUAACUGUAGAUUCUAAUCGAGAGACAUGAGAUCUCCCAAACAUAUGAGAACAAGCCCUAACAUCUUCUCUUCCGCCGAUCUUCCACUUCCCACUCUUCCUUUUGAUGUGAUUUCAGAAAUACUAGCUAGGUUACCGGUGAAGUCCCUUCUCCAAUUCCGGUGCGUCUCCAAAUCAUGGAAAUCACUCAUCUCCGAUCCAGUAUUUGCUAAAAAGCACCUUAAUCUGUCAACCACGCGCCGCCUCCUCUGUGUAAGCUACGACAAUCCCUCCUACAGUUUUAUUUUAAAUUCUUACUCCCUCCAAUCCGUUUUCACAGAUACAAACUAUAACCUCACUCGGUUCCAGUUUCCCCUCAAUGUUAUUUCUGAACGCUACUCCCAUCACCUUGUUGGCUCUUGUGACGGAAUUCUUUGUGUUGCCAAUUAUCGUAUUUCCCCGGAUUUUAAACCUUUAGUUAUACUGUGGAAUCCUUCUAUUAGAAAAUAUAAGGAAUUGCCCCAAUUUGAAAACCCAGCCGAGCUUUAUCGGCUUCGGCUUCGUAUGACAUAUGGCUUCGGCUAUGAUCAUGUUUCUCAUGAUUACAAACUGCUUGUUCUUUACAACUCCGACAUUGAACAUGCAACUAGAGCAAAGCUUUAUACUUUGAAGGCUGAUUCUUGGAGAACCAUCCAACCGUUCCCUUCUGAUUUUGGUACUCUCCUUACUUAUCCACGUGGAAGAUAUGUAAGCGGUACAGUUAAUUGGAUGACCUGUCAACGCUCGAUUGUUUCUUUUGAUUUAGUCAACGAGUCUUAUCGAAAGAUUUUGCCUCCUCGACAACAAAGAAAACCUAGAUAUUUGAGUUUGAGUGUGUUGAGGGAUUGGUUGUGCAUAACUUAUGAUCACGAUGUUUGGGUCAUGAAGGAAUAUGGAAUUCUAGAUUCUUGGACUAAAUUGUUCAAUGUUACUCACUUGCUAAUUCCUCUAUCUAAUUCUUUUCGCUUGACAAAUCUAUAUAUCUUUCAAGACGAUCAAGUGCUGCUCGUGUUUAAACAUUUUUUGGGUAGGGUGUCGUUGAUUGUUUACAAUUUCAAGAAUGAUACUUCUAAAGUUAGUUCAAUGUUGAAAGACAUCUCAGAAGUGUAUGUUGAGAGUUUGAUAUCACCUUGGUCUUAAUAUUAGAAUUAUUUUUGAAGACGAUCAAGAUCAAAUGCUGCUGUUGCUGUUUCAGGAGACUUCAAGAAAGAAGUUUGGUUGAAGUUGUUCAUGCUGGCGCGGCUUUGCAUUGCUAGCCAUCUCCCUCCAAUACUGUAAGUACCUUAUCUUUAUUUGAUGAAAAUUGGGGGCUAACUUUAUAAAUUGACUGAUAUUAUGGUUUGUUGCCAAUAUUAUGUCUUUUAAAAUCUUGAAAAAAAAUUCACUCUAAAAUUUAAAAAAAAAAAAAAAACUUGAGAUAUGGUUUAUCAUUAUUGGUAAUUCUGGUCAUAUCUCAUUGGGCUGCAUUUCUAUGUCUCAAUGUGUUAAAUUUUUAGAAAUAUAUGAAAUCAACUUAUAGAUGUUUUAUAUUUUAUCAUAUUGUCCUGAAUAUAAGUGUGUGAAGGAGUGCUAACAACUUAUUGUUUGGCACAUUUUCUAAAGUCAGAAUAUAGGAGUCAUCAAAUUAAAAUAAGAUGGUUCAGAUGAUGUGGUUAAUUGGAAUCAUUCUUCCUAGAAAACCAUUGCAUGGUUAUUUGGACAGUAUUAUUUUAUAUAAAGGAUUAACUGUACCGAUAAAUAUUGAAUCAAAGAAGAAUUAGAUAUUAGAUAACUGUUAUCAUUGAAAUAUUUGUUCAUAUUUAGUUAUGAUUAAUUGAGAAGGAAUAAAUAGUAAAAUUGUGCGUAAAAAUCUCAUGAGCUUACGCUGACUUUUUCACCUCAUGAUGUUGAUACUAGUCUUGUGUUGAGUUACCAGUUGGUUGGAAAUUUAGUUGCAUUAUUUGUCUAUUUUUAAACCCUUUUUUCAAACUGCAUGUUUAAUCACUUGAUGUACCGGUUUGCAAAAUUGACACUAUAUGUACUUUGAGUGUGAGAGAAUCUGUGUUUCCUUUACUGCUUCUAAGUACUUAAUUUUGAAAAAACAUAACAAGUUCCAAUUCCCUGUUAUUAGCCAUACAACAUUAAUGACUAUUGAUCUAGCUAUUCAUGAAAGACACUAUCUAAAAAUGAGCAACCUAGUGGUAUAAAGCGUCUGUCAUACCAACAAUGGUCUCUUGGAGGGAUAAGGGAAUAAAUGGAAUGAGCAAAAAUAUGGUUAAUUGAAUCAUAUUUCUAAACUGAAUAGUAUUGAAUAACAAAAAAAACUUAAACCAUUUAAAUGGUUAAUAAAAUGAACCACUUAUUAUAA